CCUACGGGAGGCAGCAGUCGAGAAUCAUUCACAAUGGGGGAAACCCUGAUGGUGCGACGCCGCGUGGGGGAAUGAAGGUCUUCGGAUUGUAAACCCCUGUCAUGUGGGAGCAAAUUAAAAAGAUAGUACCACACGAGGAAGAGACGGCUAACUCUGUGCCAGCAGCCGCGGUAAUACCGAGGUCUCAAGCGUUGUUCGGAAUCACUGGGCGUAAAGCGUGCGUAGGCUGUUUCGUAAGGCGUGUGUGAAAGGCGCGGGCUCAACCCGCGGACGGCACAUGAUACUGCGAGACUAGAGUAAUGGAGGGGGAACCGGAAGUCUCGGUGUAGCAGUGAAAUGCGUAGAUAUCGAGAGGAACACUCGUGGCGAAGGCGGGUUCCUGGACAUUAACUGACGCUGAGGCACGAAGGCCAGGGGAGCGAAAGGGAUUAGAUACCCGGGUAGUC
RNAcentral lists this ribosomal RNA (446 nucleotides) under uncultured bacterium. Its description in RNAcentral is "partial 16S ribosomal RNA". It matches the Rfam family "Bacterial small subunit ribosomal RNA", at positions 338 to 795 of the family's 1533-position model. The record is from RNAcentral.